Gasterosteus aculeatus aculeatus (three-spined stickleback) is the source of this 4629-nucleotide long non-coding RNA. The record is from Ensembl. NCBI's taxonomy places the organism in Eukaryota, Metazoa, Chordata, Actinopteri, Perciformes, Gasterosteidae.
UUUUCUGCUGGUGUUUUAUGAUAAUGCCUAAAACAAGCGCACGUGGGUAUUUUUAUUUUACCGACUGACUCAGCUAAAGAGCUGCUGGACAAGUGGAAAUUUAAUCGGCUUUGAUCAAAGACUACUAUUUCUGUGCUAAUUCAUGUUGUUUUCAUGUGCUAAAAACUUGUUUUAGAGAGGCAUGACUGGCUCCUAUUUGGACUUGUUUUAAUCUGUCUUAUUCUUUAUCAUUUUACAGGAAAUGUUGGCUAAAGUGGAGAUUGGAGGGGUCCUAAAAUACGUGAAAAUUCCAGAGACUGAUGGAUUUUUUCAAUUUGAUAUGUUCCUUCAAGAAGUGAACGACAAGUUUAGUCUGCAGCCAGACAGCUUCAGUGAGGGCCAGUUCACCAUCACAGAUAUGUCAGGAACAGAGGUGGAUGGAGAUAUCUUUGAUGAGCUUGUCAAGUCGGGUGUCCUGACCUUCAAGGUCCCUUUACCAGUAAUGGAUCUGGAUGUUGAGCUGGUUGCAGAUCAAGCAUCCUCCUCUGUAUUGACAUCGCUGUCCCCAACUUCAUCCCAUUCAUCCUUGGUAGUGGCACAGACUGCACUAUCCCCAGCUUUAUCCCAUUCAUCUGAUUCCACCGUUAUUCUGGAGUCCACAAGAAAAAGGAGGAACCCAACAGGGUUAAUGGACCAGAAUGAAGCAAAACAGAUGGUUGAGGGUGUUCUGAGAGCCAAUCCAAAGGGUGAAGAAGUCUUCAAUGAGUAUGACAAGACUAAAACACUAACUGAUGCGACCCGUAAACAAAUGGUGAACAUCCUGGUUGCAGAUAUGGUAGAGCUACAUGGGAGGGUUCCACCGUCAAGUGUAAGGACCAAUUAUGCACUGGGAAUUGUGACUCUUUUUCCAUACCUCCGUGAUCCAUUCUCCAAACUUGGAUAUGAACACUACUAUGAUCCUGAGGGUAAUACCGGCUUCAUUUCAUGGAGGAUCAAGACGGUUCAACGCAACACCUUUGCUGGCUUGCGGGGUCGUUCCAAGACCGUUCUUCAGGAUGGUCCAAAAACCAGGCGAGAAUCUCUGUCAACCUGCCAACAGCUAUUUGGUGAGGAGUGCAGGGAGGCGAUAUCUACAAUAAGACAUUCCAGCGAUGAAUCUGUGGUCAAAGAGAAGAUGAGAGCGACUUUCCAGUAUCGACAGAAGAUGGUUGGGGAUGAUGCAUCAUCUUCAGUCCUGGAUGUGUUCCCUCGUUUUCUUGAUGUACCUGGAUUGGUAAGAAAACUCUUUUGCUUUGGUUGUAGUUGUCCAGUGUAGAACAGUAAUAUAGUCCAGUGCAGGACAAUAUAAUAUCUGUCUGCACUAUACUAUAAUCUCUUUAAUCUUCUUUUCAAUCUUCCAUUUCAGUAUUUGACCUUUCAUUCAUUUUGUCAUGUAUGCUUGAACCUGUAUAUUAAAAUAUUGUUUUCCUUGUUUGUAGAUCGACCAGGAUUUCUCAAUGAUGUUUGGUGACGAAGUGUCUCAGAAGUUCCUGUCCAAGUGGUCAACUUUCUUCAAGCCAAACAUCAUCACAGACUGCAAGACUGCAACGAAUAUGGAUGAGUUGCUGUCGGCAACUGAAUUUGAGUCUGAAGAGAACAAUGCUACUCCCUCCAACUUCAAGGGGCCAGAAAAAAACUGCCAAGAUCAGUUCAGCUCAAGCAACCAGCCAUCUUGUUAGAUAUCUUAAGGAAGGAGCCAGUAUUACUACCUUCCUUGAGAGUGUCGACGCAAGACAACCGUUCCUCCUUUGCAUCGGUGAGCAAAAGAAGAAUAUCCAAAGGUUCUACCUUAUUAUCGACCGAAAACCAAUCCCGUGCAAGGCACACACAUCAGUAGCAGCUUUUGAUGAACUGUUCAAAGCUCACUACGUCUUCAGUCUCUCAUAUGACGAAGCUCUUUGUAAUUUUUACACAUUCAUCCAAACCACUAUAUACAACAUCGAUGUCGGAAGAGCAAAGGAGAGCCCGCGUGUUAAAGAACUCCGAGCACGACUGCUGCAGCGAAGUGCUGUAACCGAUAAACAGCCUUGAAGAUGUUCACGUGUUUUGUCUGUAAAACACACCACAAAACGUGUGUGGUUCUUUGCCAACAUUUAAAAUUCCAACAUGGUUUAUAUCCUGGCAAAAAGUUGCGUUUAAAAUGUGGAGAGCUCCAUUGCCCAUUAUCAUUUUGUACUUAUAGUGGCUUCCGAAAGCACCUCACCAAGGUGCAUAGUCAGGUUGAUCAAGAGAUUGAUAUUGUUCAUGAUGUUUCUACUCAGCGAGAAUGUGAGGCGGAAUGUUCAAGUGAUUCCCCAAAUGUUGUUGCCACUUUGCAAAAGUCAGAAAGCUCUGUUGAUACAAGUCAACUAUCGUCAAUGUGUGGAUCAAUUGUUGCGCAUUUGCAAGCAUCAGGUCUCUCUGAAAGUGCUGUCCAAACGAUUGUUUGUUCAAUGGAAGAAGUUGUCAAUGAUGUUAAAAGUGAGGCAAAAAAUGCUGUUCUUAAAACAAUGUCUUCUGAAAAUACAAGUUCAGACACUCCAGGAUCCAGAAUAGAUAAUUGUUUUGAUCAAUUAGGUAAUCCUUUUACAGCAUUAAACACAGAGUCAAAAAGGCGUAAAUAUUAUAAUGAAAAAUGGGAAAUAGUUGAACCUAAAGAAUGUGUCCUUGGUGUGAGGCUGGAUUUGCGCAGAGAUAGAAUAACAGGGGUAUACAAUGAGAUUCCUGUAACGGACAAGUGUACGUAUGUACCCAUUCUGAGUACACUUAAAUCCAUAUUCAAAAAUGACCAAGUAAGAGAAAGCUUUCUACGGGACAAACAGAGUGAAAAUGGCAUUUACAAAGACAUCAAUGAUGGGUCAUAUUGCCAAAACCAUGCCCUGUUCUCACAGCAAAAACAUGCACUACAGAUUCUACUAUAUUACGAUGACUUUGAAACGGCUAACCCUCUCGGUUCCAAAAAGGGGAUCCACAAACUAGGUUGUGUCUACUUUACUUUAAAAAAUCUUCCACCCAAGUGUAACUCAGUACUGAUGAAUGUACAUCUGGCAGCUCUGUUUCAUUCUGAAGAUCUGAAAAAAUAUGGUUUUGAUGUGAUACUAAAGCCUCUUAUUGAUGAUCUGAAAUUUUUAGAAACCAAAGGCUUAAAGCUUCCUUCUUUUGAACAACCAUUGUUUGGCUCAGUUAUUCAAGUAACGGGAGAUAAUUUGGCUUUAAAUGGCUUGUUGGGGUUUGUGGAAUCAUUCAGUGCAACCCAUUUCUGUAGAUUUUGUUUAAUCAGUAAGCAAGAAAUUCAAUCUAUAUUUACUGAAGAUCAUCCUGGGUUAAUUAUCCGUUCCAAAGAGCUUUAUACUGAACAUUGUAAGGCACUAAAUGAAAAUCCUGAACUGCGGUCAAUAUAUGGUGUUAAAAAGUCAUGUGUGCUCAACUCCUUACAGUAUUUCCAUUGCACUGACAACUAUGCUGUUGACAUAAUGCACGAUCUGCUGGAGGGUGUAGUACAGUACGAACUAAAGCUGAAUUUUGAGUACCUUGUUAAACAGGGCUAUAUCUCUUUGAACACAUUGUCAAACAGGAUACAGAGCUUUAAUUAUGGUUACACGGAGCGUAGAAACAAACCAAGUGGGAUAAAAAUGGAUGAUAAGAGCAAAGAUCUAGGUUUGAAUGCCAUCCAGUCAUGGUGUCUCCUGCGUAACGCUCCACUAAUGUUUGGUGAUGUCAUUGAAAAGAAUAACAGUUACUGGAACUUUCUGCUGCUUUUGAUCCAGAUUGUCAAUAUAGUGUUUUCCUACACCAUAACUGAUGGAAUGAUAUGCUACUUGAAACAUCUGAUCUGUGAUCACCAUACUCUGUUCAAAGCAUUGUUUCCUGACAAGAGGUUGAUUCCCAAGCACCACUUGAUGGUACACUAUCCUAGAUGCAUACAAAAAAUUGGCCCUCUUAUCCAUAUGUGGUGCAUGCGAUUUGAAGCUAAACACAAUUUUUUCAAAAGAUGUGGCAAAAAUUUUAAGAAUCUCACUAAAUCAUUAGUGAAACAACAUCAGCGUCAAUUGGCAUUUAACUAUGAAAAUUAUUGCUUUAGAAGGUUUGAAUUUGGUCCUACAUCAUCCAAAAACAUCUGCAACUUGCAAGGUGGGAAAGAAAUUAGUGAGACAUUACAUUUGGAUGCCUGUUCAAAUGUUACAAGUACAAGGUGGGUCAGAUAUUACGGUACUGAGUACCAGGUUGGGUUGUACUUAUGCACUGGAUGUACCGAUGAUCUUCCUGUGUUCAAAAAGAUCUGUGAUAUUAUAAUACAUGAACAGCAUGCUUUCAUAAUAUCCUGUAAUGUACAAACAAUGUACUAUGAUGACCACUUUAGUGCAUACUGUAUAGAAGACCAAAUGAAUGUGUUUUCUGUCAUAUCUGUGAAGGCACUGACUUAUUUUAGACCAUUUGACAAGCAAUGCUCUAAUGACAAUAGUCAAAGAGCAUACAUAGUGCCUUAUUGUUACAUUUAGAUAAAUGUACAGCAAUGAAAAAAGAUUUGGUAAUGUUGAUGCAUUUGAAGAAAUAAAAAUGUUAAAGUAGUGAACUUGUCAUUCGUAUUUCUAAUUAUUGACAUUUCAUUUAGAGAUUUUUUUUUGGUGUGGG